This is a long non-coding RNA of Callithrix jacchus (white-tufted-ear marmoset), 1264 nucleotides long. The record is from Ensembl. Lineage: Eukaryota; Metazoa; Chordata; Mammalia; Primates; Cebidae.
CAGGCUUCUUUUUUUGUAAAUGAUUUUAAUUCUGGUUCAAGGAGACGUGCGGUAGAAUUACACAUCGAUAAUUAAGAUGGUCUGUAGUUGAUGAAAACAAAUGGAAAAAUGAUAAUAAUAAUAAAAACGGAAUUCUCUAUCGAGCACUUACGAUGUUCCAGAGACCGUAUUAAGCAUGCUAGUUUAGUGGCUCAUUGAUCACAGUGGCGGGAAAACGUCAUAUCUGCAUCUUACAAGUGAGGAGACAAUACGUUUUCAUAGCCAGUGAAUGGUAGAGCUGGUAGGAAUUUGCAUCUGGCCAGCCUGAGGGAGUGUGAGCCAUCAUUCCAAACUGCCACUGAGUCUCAGCUCAGACGGGGAUCUAAACAGAAGCUUCUCGGAGCCCCACGUGUGCACACUAUACACUUAAGUCAGUGAACUGUGCAGCAGGCGUUACAGGCCCUGUGAAGAGGGUAAUGUACCCAUUGGAUAUUACUCCAAAAUCAAGUGUGCUUUACAUCCAUGAAUUAGAACCCCAUUUACAGUAAAUAUAAUGAACCCACUGAAUAUCCAUGACUAGCCAGCUUUCUGCAGAGGAAGAUUUAAUAAAAUGUCAUUUUUUAAAUAAAUAUACUUUUUUUCCUAGGAGCCCACAGCUAUUGUUAAAAUAUCUUUAAUCAACUGUCAAGCAGCGGGGUCCGUAAGUCUCCUAUUCAGUAAGAGGGUGGAACUUUCUAUAUACUCAGUGUAAGUAAACUAAACAGUUUUCAAGCUCUACAUGGAAAAUGGCUUUUCCCUGCUUACAUCAAACAAGUCGACAGUUUAUCAACACAUCGCUUCUGAUUAUUUCACGUCUGAGCUAGAGCCAAGGUUUAAAACCCCAGUCUGAGAAACGCGUACAUGCUCUCUUUCUGACGGCGGAAUGAAGGAAAGGUAUGCCAUUCUGACUUCAGCAUACGUCCCCAGGAACGUGUUUACACUGAGAAGCCUGUGGUAUGAUAAAGGUCACUCGGCAGUGUGGCUCUUUCCUCCGUUUGGCAGUGGGAGGCCACGAGAGCCGGAAUUCUCACGAGCAGCAGCGUCUCAGCAGCCCUCGGCAGAGGGACAGACUGGAAGCAGAUGUGGCACAGGUCUCCCCAUGCGGCUUCACUGUGGACUCUCAGGGCAUCUACCCCGGGACUUCCCGCACCAAGAAGACCUUGAGGUGGUCUGCAGAUGCAAACUUAAAGGCUGCCAACAGGAUCUGUUAACAUCCACGAAAGCCAGUACUCAUGGAAGCAAGUAA